UCUUUAUUCAAUUUAUAUAUUACCACCACUUGCAAAAGCUAUUUCUAGUCAGUUUAAGUAGAUUGCUCAAAAAACUGCUGAAUAAUAGAUAUGAGAAAAUGUUGAUUGUAUACAUGUGAAGUGGGCAUCAGGGAAAUAAGAUUACCUACUAACAAAUGUCCAUCUAAGUGCUUUGCAAGAAUAACUGUGAAAGUCAAUUCUCAAUGUCAUGCAAAAAAGAGAAUAGAUGGAAAGUCAGUGGUAUUUUGGUUGCUGAAGUAUUUGUAUAACAUGCACUGUAUUGUAACUGUUACUUUCGCAAAGUGCGUAUCAUGCUGUUUGAGCUAAAACACUUUGUUAAAGAGCUGUCUGCAGAAGCGGUCAGAUAUUGGCAGAAUAAAUCAUAAAGUGUUUGCCCUUACCAGUGCCCCUGAUAGAAAAUGAAGUCUCAGAGGAGUUUUUGGCUCUUAACCUGAAUGUUGCAACUUUCUGUUUUCAUUCUCACCAUUUCCUGGAUUAUAGAGCUCAGUUUCAAAACACCUAUUUUAGGAAAUUUCAUUUUGAUUCCUGCAGAGAGGAAGAUUUAGCAUCAUUUUCUCAUCUGCGUCUUCAUUUCACUUACCUUGCUUGGACAACUUUCUCUCCUGUGCUCUAGUUGAAGCAACAUUCCUCCUGCUCAUUUCCAACCAUCUCUUUCAGCUGCAGCACUAUCAGAUGGUGGUGCAGCAGUAGCCUCAUUAUGUUUUAGAGCCCCUGUUUCCAUGCGAUCACAAAGAAGUAUCAGAACAGGAAAGGAAAGGUCUGGCAGACACGCUCAGCAAGAUGGAACAACAAGAAGUGCCAGAAGACUCAGGAAAACAAACACCCCUCCCAACCCUGUUUGGUUUUGUGUUUCCCCAGAAAGCAGUGUUCAAAUAUUGAGAAGAUUCUCCCCACAGAAUUUGAGAAAAUCCUCUUAAUUAUUAGAUUAUUAGAAUAUUAUUUAUUCCUGCUGGCUGCACAUGUCAUCUCAAACUCACUGAGAUCAGAGGCAUAUUAAGAAAAGCUUCCCCUCCAUAUUUUC
RNAcentral lists this long non-coding RNA (1042 nucleotides) under Phasianus colchicus (ring-necked pheasant). Its description in RNAcentral is "lncRNA (ENSPCLG00000003294.1)". Lineage: Eukaryota; Metazoa; Chordata; Aves; Galliformes; Phasianidae. The record is from RNAcentral.